Molecule: transfer RNA, 71 nt
Filed under: Loxodonta africana (African savanna elephant)
Lineage: Eukaryota; Metazoa; Chordata; Mammalia; Proboscidea; Elephantidae
Rfam family: tRNA
About the family: Transfer RNA (tRNA) molecules are approximately 80 nucleotides in length. Their secondary structure includes four short double-helical elements and three loops (D, anti-codon, and T loops). Further hydrogen bonds mediate the characteristic L-shaped molecular structure. tRNAs have two regions of fundamental functional importance: the anti-codon, which is responsible for specific mRNA codon recognition, and the 3' end, to which the tRNAs corresponding amino acid is attached (by aminoacyl-tRNA synthetases). tRNAs cope with the degeneracy of the genetic code in two manners: having more than one tRNA (with a specific anti-codon) for a particular amino acid; and 'wobble' base-pairing, i.e. permitting non-standard base-pairing at the 3rd anti-codon position.
Source: Rfam by way of RNAcentral
GCAGUGGUAGUUCAGUGGUAGAAUUCUCACCUCCCGUACAGGAGACCCAGGUUUGAUUCCUGGCCAGUGCA